AACGAACGCUGGCGGCAUGCCUAACACAUGCAAGUCGAACGCCCCGCAAGGGGAGUGGCGCACGGGUGAGUAACACGUGGGAACCUGCCCAUCGGUUCGGAACAACGUCGGGAAACGGACGCUAAUACCGGAUAUCCCCGGAGGGGGAAAGAUUUAUCGCCGAUGGAGGGGCCCGCGUCCGAUUAGGUAGUUGGUGGGGUAAUGGCCUACCAAGCCGACGAUCGGUAGCUGGUCUGAGAGGAUGAUCAGCCACACUGGGACUGAGACACGGCCAAGACUCCUACGGGAGGCAGCAGUGGGGAAUAUUGGACAAUGGGCGCAAGCCUGAUCCAGCAAUGCCGCGUGAGUGAUGAAGGCCUUAGGGUUGUAAAGCUCUUUCGCACGCGACGAUGAUGACGGUAGCGUGAGAAGAAGCCCCGGCUAACUUCGUGCCAGCAGCCGCCGUAA
This 447-nucleotide ribosomal RNA is filed under the name uncultured bacterium. RNAcentral describes it as "partial 16S ribosomal RNA". It matches the Rfam family "Bacterial small subunit ribosomal RNA", at positions 29 to 523 of the family's 1533-position model. The record is from RNAcentral.